GAUCCUGGCUCAGGACGAACGCUGGCGGCGUGCCUAAUACAUGCAAGUCGAGCGAAGUUUUUCUGGUGCUUGCACUAGAAAAACUUAGCGGCGAACGGGUGAGUAACACGUAAAGAACCUGCCUCAUAGACUGGGACAACUAUUGGAAACGAUAGCUAAUACCGGAUAACAGCAUUAACCGCAUGGUUGAUGUUUAAAAGUUGGUUUUGCUAACACUAUGAGAUGGCUUUGCGGUGCAUUAG
RNAcentral lists this ribosomal RNA (242 nucleotides) under uncultured bacterium. Its description in RNAcentral is "partial 16S ribosomal RNA". It matches the Rfam family "Bacterial small subunit ribosomal RNA", at positions 15 to 244 of the family's 1533-position model. The record is from RNAcentral.